CAACUUUUAACAACGGAUAUCUUGGCUCUCGUAACGAUGAAGAACGCAGCGAAAUGCGAUACGUAGUGUGAAUUGCAGAAUUCAGUGAAUCAUCGAGUUUUUGAACGCAAAUUGCGCUCGUGGGCUCUGCCCUAGAGCAUGCCUGUUUGAGCAUCACGCA
RNAcentral lists this ribosomal RNA (160 nucleotides) under Gloeochaete wittrockiana. Its description in RNAcentral is "5.8S ribosomal RNA". It matches the Rfam family "5.8S ribosomal RNA". From Rfam's summary of the family: 5.8S ribosomal RNA (5.8S rRNA) is a component of the large subunit of the eukaryotic ribosome. The record is from RNAcentral. Lineage: Eukaryota; Glaucocystophyceae; Gloeochaetales; Gloeochaetaceae.